GGGUUGUGAGGUUAAGCGACUAAGCGUACACGGUGGAUGCCCUGGCAGUCAGAGGCGAUGAAGGACGUGCUAAUCUGCGAAAAGCGUCGGUAAGGUGAUAUGAACCGUUAUAACCGGCGAUGUCCGAAUGGGGAAACCCAGUGCAAUUCGUUGCACUAUCGUUAACUGAAUACAUAGGUUAACGAGGCGAACCGGGGGAACUGAAACAUCUAAGUACCCCGAGGAAAAGAAAUCAACCGAGAUUCCCCCAGUAGCGGCGAGCGAACGGGGAGCAGCCCAGAGUCUGAAUCAGCUUGUGUGUUAGUGGAACGGUCUGGAAAGUCCGACGGUACAGGGUGAUAGUCCCGUACACCAAAAUGCACAGGCUGUGAACUCGAAGAGUAGGGCGGGACACGUGGUAUCCUGUCUGAAUAUGGGGGGACCAUCCUCCAAGGCUAAAUACUCCUGACUGACCGAUAGUGAACCAGUACCGUGAGGGAAAGGCGAAAAGAACCCCGGCGAGGGGAGUGAAAAAGAACCUGAAACCGUGUACGUACAAGCAGUGGGAGCACCUUCGGGUGUGACUGCGUACCUUUUGUAUAAUGGGUCAGCGACUUAUAUUCUGUAGCAAGGUUAACCGUAUAGGGGAGCCGCAGGGAAACCGAGUCUUAACUGGGCGUUAAGUUGCAGGGUAUAGACCCGAAACCCGGUGAUCUAGCCAUGGGCAGGUUGAAGGUUGGGUAACACUAACUGGAGGACCGAACCGACUAAUGUUGAAAAAUUAGCGGAUGACUUGUGGCUGGGGGUGAAAGGCCAAUCAAACCGGGAGAUAGCUGGUUCUCCCCGAAAGCUAUUUAGGUAGCGCCUCGUGAACUCAUCUUCGGGGGUAGAGCACUGUUUCGGCUAGGGGGUCAUCCCGACUUACCAACCCGAUGCAAACUACGAAUACCGAAGAAUGUUAUCACGGGAGACACACGGCGGGUGCUAACGUCCGUCGUGAAGAGGGAAACAACCCAGACCGCCAGCUAAGGUCCCAAAGUCAUGGUUAAGUGGGAAACGAUGUGGGAAGGCACAGACAGCCAGGAUGUUGGCUUAGAAGCAGCCAUCAUUUAAAGAAAGCGUAAUAGCUCACUGGUCGAGUCGGCCUGCGCGGAAGAUGUAACGGGGCUAAACCAUGCACCGAAGCUGCGGCAGCGACACUAUGUGUUGUUGGGUAGGGGAGCGUUCUGUAAGCCUGCGAAGGUGUGCUGUGAGGCAUGCUGGAGGUAUCAGAAGUGCGAAUGCUGACAUAAGUAACGAUAAAGCGGGUGAAAAGCCCGCUCGCCGGAAGACCAAGGGUUCCUGUCCAACGUUAAUCGGGGCAGGGUGAGUCGACCCCUAAGGCGAGGCCGAAAGGCGUAGUCGAUGGGAAACAGGUUAAUAUUCCUGUACUUGGUGUUACUGCGAAGGGGGGACGGAGAAGGCUAUGUUAGCCGGGCGACGGUUGUCCCGGUUUAAGCAUGUAGGCUGGUU
RNAcentral lists this ribosomal RNA (1491 nucleotides) under Klebsiella pneumoniae. RNAcentral's name for it is "bacterial LSU rRNA". It matches the Rfam family "Bacterial large subunit ribosomal RNA", at positions 1 to 1530 of the family's 2925-position model. Lineage: Bacteria; Pseudomonadati; Pseudomonadota; Gammaproteobacteria; Enterobacterales; Enterobacteriaceae. The record is from RNAcentral. RNAcentral also lists the same sequence under 1 other name.